Molecule: ribosomal RNA, 468 nt
Filed under: uncultured bacterium
Lineage: Bacteria
Description: partial 16S ribosomal RNA
Rfam family: Bacterial small subunit ribosomal RNA
Source: RNAcentral
GAUGAACGCUGGCGGCGUGCUUAACACAUGCAAGUCGAACGGAAAGGCCCAAGCUUGCUUGGGUACUCGAGUGGCGAACGGGUGAGUAACACGUGGGUGAUCUGCCCUGCACUUCGGGAUAAGCCUGGGAAACUGGGUCUAAUACCGGAUAGGACGAUGGUUUGAAUGCAAUGGGGGAAAGUUUUUUCGGUGUGGGAUGAGCUCGCGGCCUAUCAGCUUGUUGGUGGGGUAAUGGCCUACCAAGGCGUCGACGGGUAGCCGGCCUGAGAGGGUGUACGGCCACAUUGGGACUGAGAUACGGCCCAGACUCCUACGGGAGGCAGCAGUGGGGAAUAUUGCACAAUGGGCGCAGGCCUGAUGCAGCGACGCCGCGUGGGGGAUGACGGCCUUCGGGUUGUAAACUCCUUUCGCUAGGGACGAAGCGUUUUUGUGACGGUACCUGGAGAAGAAGCACCGGCUAACUACGUG